RNAcentral lists this ribosomal RNA (229 nucleotides) under uncultured bacterium. Its description in RNAcentral is "partial 16S ribosomal RNA". It matches the Rfam family "Bacterial small subunit ribosomal RNA", at positions 568 to 796 of the family's 1533-position model. The record is from RNAcentral.
UGCGUAGGCGUUUUGUUAAGUCGAAUCUGAAAGCCCCCAGCUUAACUGGGGAGAGUGAUUCGAAACUGGCAGAAUUGAGUACGGCAGAGGUUAGUGGAAUUCAAUGUGUAGCGGUGGAAUGCGUAGAUAUAUUGAGGAACACCGGUGGCGAAGGCGGCUAACUGGACCGGAACUGACGCUGAGGCACGAAAGCGUGGGGAGCAAACAGGAUUAGAUACCCUGGUAGUCC